GUAGGUGAACCUGCGGAAGGAUCGUUAAAGAAUCGCCCCGUUUUUUGAAAUGGGUUAUAUUCCCAAACCGUGUCUACAUACCUUUGUUGCUUUGGCAGGCCGCCGCUUAGGCGUUGGCUCCGGCUGACUGCGCCUGCCAGAGGACCUAAACUCGUUUGUUUAGUGAUGUCUGAGUACUAUAUAAUAGUUAAAACUUUCAACAACGGAUCUCUUGGUUCUG
This 220-nucleotide unclassified non-coding RNA is filed under the name rhizosphere metagenome. Its description in RNAcentral is "partial ribosomal RNA internal transcribed spacer region". The record is from RNAcentral.